Molecule: small nuclear RNA, 106 nt
Organism: Phyllostomus discolor (pale spear-nosed bat)
Lineage: Eukaryota; Metazoa; Chordata; Mammalia; Chiroptera; Phyllostomidae
Source: RefSeq, a predicted model, not a curated record
GCACUUGUUUCGGCAGCACAUAUGCUAAAAUUGGAAUGACACAGAGAAGAUCAGCAUGGCCCUGCACAAGAAUGACAAGCAAGUUCAUGAAGCAUUCUGUAUUUUA